ACUAAGCGUACACGGUGGAUGCCCUGGCAGUCAGAGGCGAUGAAGGACGUGCUAAUCUGCGAUAAGCGUCGGUAAGGUGAUAUGAACCGUUAUAACCGGCGAUUUCCGAAUGGGGAAACCCAGUGUGAUUCGUCACACUAUCAUUAACUGAAUCCAUAGGUUAAUGAGGCGAACCGGGGGAACUGAAACAUCUAAGUACCCCGAGGAAAAGAAAUCAACCGAGAUUCCCCCAGUAGCGGCGAGCGAACGGGGAGCAGCCCAGAGCCUGAAUCAGUGUGUGUGUUAGUGGAAGCGUCUGGAAAGGCGCGCGAUACAGGGUGACAGCCCCGUACACAAAAAUGCACAUACUGUGAGCUCGAUGAGUAGGGCGGGACACGUGGUAUCCUGUCUGAAUAUGGGGGGACCAUCCUCCAAGGCUAAAUACUCCUGACUGACCGAUAGUGAACCAGUACCGUGAGGGAAAGGCGAAAAGAACCCCGGCGAGGGGAGUGAAAAAGAACCUGAAACCGUGUACGUACAAGCAGUGGGAGCCUCUUUUAUGGGGUGACUGCGUACCUUUUGUAUAAUGGGUCAGCGACUUAUAUUCUGUAGCAAGGUUAACCGAAUAGGGGAGCCGAAGGGAAACCGAGUCUUAACCGGGCGUUAAGUUGCAGGGUAUAGACCCGAAACCCGGUGAUCUAGCCAUGGGCAGGUUGAAGGUUGGGUAACACUAACUGGAGGACCGAACCGACUAAUGUUGAAAAAUUAGCGGAUGACUUGUGGCU
RNAcentral lists this ribosomal RNA (764 nucleotides) under Escherichia coli. RNAcentral's name for it is "partial 23S ribosomal RNA". It matches the Rfam family "Bacterial large subunit ribosomal RNA", at positions 10 to 816 of the family's 2925-position model. The record is from RNAcentral. Lineage: Bacteria; Pseudomonadati; Pseudomonadota; Gammaproteobacteria; Enterobacterales; Enterobacteriaceae.